UACGUAGGGGGCAAGCGUUGUCCGGAUUUACUGGGCGUAAAGAGCGCGUAGGCGGAAGUUUAAGCAUGGCCUGAAAGCCCCCGGCUCAACCGGGGAACGGGGCUGUGAACUGGGCUUCUUGAGGGCGAUAGAGGAGAGCGGAAUUCCUGGUGUAGCGGUGAAAUGCGCAGAUAUCAGGAGGAACACCGGUGGCGAAGGCGGGUCUCUGGGCAACAACUGACGCUGAGGAGCGAAAGCGUGGGGAGCGAACAGG
Molecule: ribosomal RNA, 253 nt
Filed under: uncultured bacterium
Lineage: Bacteria
Description: partial 16S ribosomal RNA
Rfam family: Bacterial small subunit ribosomal RNA
Source: RNAcentral